This 473-nucleotide ribosomal RNA is filed under the name uncultured organism. RNAcentral's name for it is "partial 16S ribosomal RNA". It matches the Rfam family "Bacterial small subunit ribosomal RNA", at positions 329 to 798 of the family's 1533-position model. The record is from RNAcentral.
ACGUACACUCCUGCGGGAGGCAGCAGUGAGGAAUAUUGGACAAUGGGUGGAAGCCUGAUCCAGCCAUCCCGCGUGCAGGAAGACGGCCCUAUGGGUUGUAAACUGCUUUUAUCUGGGGAUAAACCUACUUACGUGUAAGUAGCUGAAGGUACCAGAAGAAUAAGCACCGGCUAACUCCGUGCCAGCAGCCGCGGUAAUACGGAGGGUGCAAGCGUUAUCCGGAUUUAUUGGGUUUAAAGGGUCCGUAGGCGGACUGAUAAGUCAGUGGUGAAAUCCGACAGCUUAACUGUCGAACUGCCAUUGAUACUGUUAGUCUUGAGUAAGGUUGAAGUGUCUGGAAUAAGUAGUGUAGCGGUGAAAUGCAUAGAUAUUACUUAGAACACCAAUUGCGAAGGCAGGUCACUAAGUCUUAACUGACGCUGAUGGACGAAAGCGUGGGGAGCGAACAGGAUUAGAAACCCUGGUAGUCCCAU